AAAAAGACAAACCCUGGUUUCCGUGUCCAACGUUUAACCGUCCGUCUUAUUUGAAAAAAUUAUAAAAAAAAUUUAAAAGACAAGUCACACAUAAAAUAUUAAUCAUGUUUUAUCAUCUAACAACAAUAAAAAUACAAAUUAUAAAAUAAUUUCAUAUAAGACGGACAGUCAAAGUUAGACACGGAAACCCAGAGUUUGCUUUUUU
This 205-nucleotide microRNA precursor is filed under the name Oryza sativa Indica Group (long-grained rice). Its description in RNAcentral is "MIR812 microRNA precursor family". It matches the Rfam family "MIR812 microRNA precursor family". The record is from Rfam by way of RNAcentral. Lineage: Eukaryota; Viridiplantae; Streptophyta; Magnoliopsida; Poales; Poaceae.